This 232-nucleotide ribosomal RNA is filed under the name uncultured bacterium. RNAcentral describes it as "partial 16S ribosomal RNA". It matches the Rfam family "Bacterial small subunit ribosomal RNA", at positions 99 to 334 of the family's 1533-position model. The record is from RNAcentral.
CGGACGGGUGAGUAAUGUCUGGGAAACUGCCUGAUGGAGGGGGAUAACUACUGGAAACGGUAGCUAAUACCGCAUAACGUCGCAAGACCAAAGAGGGGGACCUUCGGGCCUCUUGCCAUCGGAUGUGCCCAGAUGGGAUUAGCUAAUAGGUGGGGUAACGGCUCACCUAGGCGACGAUCCCUAGCUGGUCUGAGAGGAUGACCAGCCACACUGGAACUGAGACACGGUCCAG